Molecule: ribosomal RNA, 371 nt
Filed under: uncultured organism
Description: bacterial SSU rRNA
Rfam family: Bacterial small subunit ribosomal RNA
Source: RNAcentral
CAGAGACUGCAAGCGUUAUUCGGAUUCACUGGGCGUAAAGGGUGCGCAGGCGGCCAAGUGUGUGAGGCGUGAAAGCCUGGAGCUUAACUCCAGAAUUGCACCUCAAACUACUUGGCUAGAGCAUUGGAGAGGGUAGCAGAAUUCAUGGUGUAGCAGUGAAAUGCGUAGAUAUCAUGAGGAAUACCAGAGGCGAAGGCGGCUACCUGGACAAUUGCUGACGCUCAGGCACGAAAGCGUGGGGAGCAAAAGGGAUUAGAUACCCCUGUAGUCCGCGCCCUAAACGGUGCACACUAGGUCUUGGCGGAUUCGACCCCCCAGGGCCCAAGCUAACGCGUUAAGUGUGCCGCCUGAGGACUACGGCCGCAAGGCUA